Molecule: ribosomal RNA, 489 nt
Filed under: uncultured bacterium
Lineage: Bacteria
Description: partial 16S ribosomal RNA
Rfam family: Bacterial small subunit ribosomal RNA
Source: RNAcentral
UUGCACGCUGGCGGCCGGCCUAACCCCUGCACGUCGAACGGUAACAGGAAGAAGCUUGCUUCUUUGCUGACGAGUGGCGGACGGGUGAGUAAUGUCUGGGAAACUGCCUGAUGGAGGGGGAUAACUACUGGAAACGGUAGCUAAUACCGCAUAACGUCGCAAAACCAAAGAGGCGGACCUUCGGGCCUCUUGCCAUCGGAUGUGCCCAGAUGGGAUUAGCUAGUAGGUGGGGUAACGGCUCACCUAGGCGACGAUCCCUAGCUGGUCUGAGAGGAUGACCAGCCACACUGGAACUGAGACACGGUCCAGACUCCUACGGGAGGCAGCAGUGGGGAAUAUUGCACAAUGGGCGCAAGCCUGAUGCAGCCAUGCCGCGUGUAUGAAGAAGGCCUUCGGGUUGUAAAGUACUUUCAGCGGGGAGGAAGGGAGUAAAGUUAAUACCUUUGCUCAUUGACGUUACCCGCAGAAGAAGCACCGGCUAACUCCGUG